Molecule: ribosomal RNA, 501 nt
Filed under: Fusarium solani
Lineage: Eukaryota; Fungi; Ascomycota; Sordariomycetes; Hypocreales; Nectriaceae
Description: eukaryotic LSU rRNA
Rfam family: 5.8S ribosomal RNA (bases 126-279)
Source: RNAcentral
GUGAACAUACCUAAAACGUUGCUUCGGCGGGAACAGACGGCCCUGUAACAACGGGCCGCCCCCGCCAGAGGACCCCUAACUCUGUUUUUAUAAUGUUUUUCUGAGUAAACAAGCAAAUAAAUUAAAACUUUCAACAACGGAUCUCUUGGCUCUGGCAUCGAUGAAGAACGCAGCGAAAUGCGAUAAGUAAUGUGAAUUGCAGAAUUCAGUGAAUCAUCGAAUCUUUGAACGCACAUUGCGCCCGCCAGUAUUCUGGCGGGCAUGCCUGUUCGAGCGUCAUUACAACCCUCAGGCCCCCGGGCCUGGCGUUGGGGAUCGGCGGAAGCCCCCUGUGGGCACACGCCGUCCCUCAAAUACAGUGGCGGUCCCGCCGCAGCUUCCAUUGCGUAGUAGCUAACACCUCGCAACUGGAGAGCGGCGCGGCCAUGCCGUAAAACACCCAACUUCUGAAUGUUGACCUCGAAUCAGGUAGGAAUACCCGCUGAACUUAAGCAUAUCAAA